This is a long non-coding RNA of Sitodiplosis mosellana (orange wheat blossom midge), 3773 nucleotides long. RefSeq lists it as uncharacterized. The record is from RefSeq and is a predicted model, not a curated record. The transcript has 2 exons. NCBI's taxonomy places the organism in Eukaryota, Metazoa, Arthropoda, Insecta, Diptera, Cecidomyiidae.
UGGCGAAGUGCAGUUUGCAUCGUGCUUGAUGCAGGUUCGAUGAGCCUAGGUCAUUUUCGAAUUUACAUACCGCACACACAAAACGCGAGAAAUCAAACCAAUUCAUCACAGUCACAAUACAACAAAAAAAAAACAUACACAAAACCGACACAAUUUUUUCGCAUUUUCCAAAUUUUUCGCCCGAAAGAAUAACCAAUAAUCAUAAUCACCAACUCUUUCGAAACACGACCGAAGAACUUUUGCCGCUUUUUCAAUUGUUUAUUCCUGUGCAAAAAAAAAAUCAUAAAAAAUACCAAAACAUUUGAAUUUAUAAAAACUCGAGAAAAAAAAACGAACAUUUUGAUAAAUUCCAGAGAAUUCAAAUUCAAAUUCAAAAAAACAAAGUUAUCUAAAACCCACAAAUUAAAAUCGCAAAAAGCGAAAAUAAAAUAAAUUCAAAACCCAAACACUAUUCGAACGCACACGAAAGAGACAGAAACAAAAAGAAAGAAUACAGUGUGAAACGGAUAUCUAAGCUGAGUUUGGCAUCACAAAAACGCAUAAACAGAAUCUUGAGUUGCACAACAGCCGCACACAUUCACACAACUACGCUACAACACACAGAUAAGUAGCUUAAUUGCAAUAAAAAACAACAAACAAAGCAUUCAUAAAAGAACCGAAAGCAAAACUGGAAUUCAUUUCCGAACUAAUAAUAAAGAAAAACAAACACAAACACAAUAAAACAUAACCUAAAAAAACUAACACAAAACACACAACACACACAAAAAACAAAAAAACUAACACACACAAAACGCUAAUUUAAAACAAAUAAAAAAAAAACAUUCAAAAGAACAAUAAUCGAAAGUAAUUUUAAAUAAAGAAAAAAACUUCACCAAAAUUUAACGCGCUUUCGACAAUUCAACCAAACAAACUAACAAAAAAAAUUAGCUCAUUUUGGAUAAAGUACAAAUUUCGUAUUAAGUAAACUAAUUUAUACAGAAGAAAAAAUCUUGUAUAAAUCGUUUAAAACCAAUUGUUACACCAAAAAAAAAGGGAAUUACACUUUAUAAACAUCUCAUUUGCGUUGAUCCAAAAACGAAUCCUUCAAUUCAAUCCCUUGUCAAUCGAGUCAUUUGAUCUGAACAAAGGAUAUACACUAGACCAACACUUGAUUAUUUCAUAAGUUGUUUGAAUUCAUUUUUAAAUUAAUCGAUUUAAUUGUUUCAUAUUUAGAGAAAAAAAACAAACACAAAUUAGUUGCAAUUUUAUUGAAGAAAUUUUGAAUUUUUUUACUUAAAUUUUUUACACACAAACACACACACAACACACACACACACACACAAAUAUAUAUAUAUUUAUUUAUAUAGACAUAUAAAACAAUUUAUAUAUACACACACACACUUUACACACAAACACAAAAACACACAAAAAAGAAAAAAAGAAAAACAAACACAAAUCAACAAAAUUCAAUCAAACAUUUAAAAACACCAAACACAAACCAAUUCGAAAGAAAAAGAAAAAAAAAUCGAAAAUAAAAACACACACACAACACAAAUUUGAAAGGAAAAACAUUCAAACACAAAAAAAACCAAAACAAAAAACACAAACACCCACACAACCACAUCCACAUCCACAUACACACAAACAACAGCUAAACAAAAGCCAAUAACCAAAACUAAAUCACACCAGAAACAGAAACAAAAACAAAAAUAAAAAGAAAUUUUCCAGACCAUAAGACCAAAGAAUGUAUUUAGACCUCAGCCAAAAUCAAUAUUUCAAUCAAGUCGAACCACAGCGUCAAAAUUGCAAACCGUUUCAACAAUCAAAAAAUUCAUCCAUGUUCAAUCAACACGAAAUUGGUACACAUACACACAACAAUAUCAAGUCAUAAAAUCAAGCCAACACCGCCGAAUAAUCCACACACACACAUAACAAACAAUUAACACAAUACAAUCCAAAAUUCUUUACACUGACACCGGAACAGACAGUUUAGAAUACCAUUUACCAUACAGCUAGCAUUUAAUGAAACUUAUCUUUAGCAUUAGUCAGAUAAUAAUACAGCUACUACUAAUAAAAAGUUCUAUCGAGUUAAAUUUUAGUAAAGAAAAAAUACAUAUAAUUGUAAUUGAUAAGAGUAUUAACGUCAAUAAAGCUAGGAGUAUAGGGUUGCACGAAAGUGAUCGAAAUCAACAGCGACUACGAAGACGGUUACGACGGCUAAGACAAAAGCACCAGCAACAGCGUGACAACAGCAAUAAAAACAUUCAAACCAACCAAUUCAACCAUUGUCAUUGUCGAAAAGUCAACGUAAAAGCAAAACCGACACUAACACGCCCAAUCAACUCACUAAUUAUCAAAUAAUCUGUAUAAAAAGAAAUUAAAUUAUAUGGGUAGAAAGACACAUACGUUACAUAGGCUAUAGUGAAUCGAAAAGAAGACAGGAAUUACACACAAACAGUUAUUGGGAAAUCACGAAAAUUGUGUAAUUGAAUCAAUCUUCAAUAAUUUAAGCACAAUUUAUUCAUAAUCUAUUCUUAUUCUUAAUUAAUUAAGCGAAAGUAUUAAACACACACACACACAGACUCUAGUAGGAGAAAUUUUUUUUGGUGGAGCGCAAAUCAAUUUGCAUUGCAUCAGAAAAGGUAUUGAGUACACCAAUUCGACAACAUCCACGUGAAGCGAUUUAUUACACUUCCAUUUUUUGUUUUGUCUUUUCAUUUCGGAUCUUCAUUUCAUUGUGCCAAAUCAAACAAACCCAACUCAACGCAGAUUGGACUUUUAUUAAAUUAAACUUUGCUCCAAUUUCAAUUGCAAUUGGACUGAAGCUAAAUUCUUUUCGCUAGAAAACAUACGAUUCUUUCAUUCAACUUUUUAACAUCUACUUUGAGUAGAUUGAAAGAUUGAGAUAGAAAAAGUUUUCGUUGAACGAAAGUUUUACGUUUUCAAAUUGGUCAGCAUUUUAAUUGGCUAAUUAAAUUUGAUUGGUAAAUUCGAAAUUUCCUUAAAUAAACCAGCGUCAAUUUUUCAAAAAAACACUUCCAUUUUCGCCUGUGUCGAAGUUUUUUUUUCUCGGAAAAGCAAUUUUCAAUCUAAUCGUUUUUUUUUUAUCAAGAGAUAAACAAAAGAGUUUCGAAAAAGGACAACAUCAAAACGACAAAAUCUUAUACAAGAACCAAUUCUUGUUUGAACAACAUACAACUGUUAAAACCACACACAAAAUACGACCGAACGAACGGAUCGUGCUUCGCGAAAACAAAUAUUGAAAAGACUCGAAUUCAUCCAGAAUUCGAACAAAUCCGAAAAUUCAAUUUUUACACCUUUCGAUCGGAAAGCAAAAAACGAGCAUUAUUUUAUUUUCUUAAUUUUAGAAGAAAAUAAACAAGUUUAGGAGAGAAAAAGCUAAUCUACAAAAACAAAAGAAAAAAUAAAAUAAAAAUAAACAAAAAAGUGAUAACGUCUUGGCCUAUACAUAUUUUGAAACUACAUUGUGAUCCAGAAGAAACAAACAAAACAACAACAAAAAUUUAAACUAAAACAAACAAACAACAACAACAACAAAAAAAUUAACUAUUUGACAUUUAUACGAGAAACAAACAAACAAAAAAAAAGAUAGUAAAUUUUAUAUUUAAAACAAUAAUUUAGGUGAACAAAAGAGUUUAUAAGGAAAUUUGAAACGAAAUCAAAUAUUACGCGAGAGAGAGAGAAAGAAAAAGAACUAUAAAUUUAUAUAACGAAAGAGAAGAGGAAAGUGUGAGAUAGAGAAACAGAAAGAGAGAGAGAGAGAGAGAGAGAGA